Molecule: long non-coding RNA, 374 nt
Filed under: Erythranthe guttata (spotted monkey flower)
Lineage: Eukaryota; Viridiplantae; Streptophyta; Magnoliopsida; Lamiales; Phrymaceae
Description: long non-coding RNA (EGUT_LNC003701)
Source: RNAcentral
UCUUUCUUGAAUGCUCUAAACUUACUAUCUAAGAUUCAGUGAGUAUCCAUUUCAUUACUGCUCUUUAUAAAGAAACUUUUAGUAAACAAAUAUGAUGAUGAGAUGGUUAAGUAAUAGGUGGAGUUUAUGUAAUAAUAAUUACCACCAUUAAGCUGAUCAUUAGGAUUAUGCACUGGCCCACUAGCUCUCUUAUUCCAUGAUUUGUUCGAAUGCAAUUUUGUGGUAGAUCCUUUCAUUUUUUCUCCAACUGAGCAGCAAACUUGUAUCCCUUUCUUUAUUCUUUCUUAAUUCAAUUAUCAGCGAUAGUAACGAUAUUUUUAGGAGCCAAUGUUGAACAGAAAAAAAAGUAUGUAGCUUACCGUUAAUACCGUAAC